Molecule: ribosomal RNA, 1284 nt
Filed under: Enneaphyllus aeneipennis
Lineage: Eukaryota; Metazoa; Arthropoda; Insecta; Coleoptera; Cerambycidae
Description: large subunit ribosomal RNA
Rfam family: Archaeal large subunit ribosomal RNA (bases 1043-1202)
Source: RNAcentral
AUUUAAUAAAUUAUUAUUUAUAAUUAGUUUAUUUAUAUUUGAAAAAAUUAAUUUAUUGUUUUAUUAUAUUUUAGAACAAAUCUUUUUUGUAAUAGCAAAUUAGUAUUGUAAAAGAAGUUGAUUAAGUUUAUAAUAGAAAAAUUUAAUUUUUGUACCUUGUGUGUCAGGGUUUAUUAAUAAAAUUUUAUUAAUUUAAUUUUCCCGAAUUUAGAUGGGCUAGCUAUAAUAUAUAUUUUAUUGUGAAAUAAAUAUUUAAAAUAUUUAGUUAGAUAUUAGAUGUUAUUCGUUUCUAAAUAUAUCUGGUUUUUUAAGAAAUAAAUUUAAUUUAUCCUGUUUUUAUAAAUUUUCUAUUUUUUAGUUGAUUAAUAUUACAGUGAAAUAUUUUAAGGGAUGAGCUUUAAGGUAAAGUUUUAUAAAAAUAGUUUUUAUUAUAAGAAAAAUAGGAUUAGUAUUUUCCAUUUUUAUAAUAGUGUUAUAAUUAGUCUUUAUUUAAGUUAUUAUUUAUAUUAUAUUUUAAAUUUUUUAUUAAAAUUUAUUUUAGAAUUUGUUUAAGUUAGUAAUAAUGAUGAAAUUAGUAAAGAUUUUUAUAUAAUUAGGUUUUACUUUUUAGUUUAUUUUAAGGAAUUCGGCAAAUAAUUUUUUACCUGUUUAUUAAAAACAUGGCCUUUUGAUUAUAAUUUAAGGUCUAGCCUGCCCACUGAAAUUUUAAAUGGCCGCGGUAUUCUGACCGUGCAAAGGUAGCAUAAUCAUUAGUUUUUUAAUUGAAAGCUGGAAUGAAUGGUUGGAUAAGAAAAUGACUGUCUCUGUUUAAUUAUUUUGAAUUUUAUUUUUAAGUUAAAAAGCUUAAAUAUUAUUAAAAGACGAGAAGACCCUAUAGAAUUUUAUAAUUUUUAAUAAUAAUUUUUUUGGUAUUAUAACUUUUAUUAAUAAAUUUUAUUUUGUUGGGGGGAUAGAAAAAUUUAGUUAACUUUUUUUAAUUAAGUUCAUUGAUUUAUGAAUUAUUGAUCCAUAAAUUGUGAUUAUAAGAUAAAAUUACCUUAGGGAUAACAGCGUAAUUUUUCUAAAGAGUUCAAAUCGAAAGAAAAGUUUGCGACCUCGAUGUUGGAUUAAAAUUAAUUUUUGGUGUAGAAGCUAAAAAUUUUAGGUCUGUUCGACCUUUAAAAUUUUACAUGAUCUGAGUUUAAACCGGUGUGAGCCAGGUUGGUUUCUAUCUUUAAUUGAAUAAAAUAUUUUAGUACGAAAGGACCAAAUAUUGAAUAAUUUAUUUUAUUAUUGAAUUUUACU